GCGAGAAUGGUAUAUAAACUCAGGGCUCGAGCACUGAGUAUCGCAUUUACUUCACAUCACCGACUGAGACCAUUUGUAGACCUCACCUUCCAGAGCCGACGAAUAAUACGAGAUGCAGGGAACACGAGGACUCCUCCUGGUGGUGGCGCUGCUGGUGCUACUGCAGGUGUACGUCGCUGUUGCGAGUGUUCCCUAUGGCGGUGGCGGCUACGGUCAUCGUGGCGGUUACGGACACGACGGUGACAGUGACGAAUACUAUGGUCAUGGCGGCGGUCAUGGCGGUCAUGGCGGUCAUGGCCACGGUGGUGGUGCUGGUGGACAUUGGUAGUCGUCAUCGGCAGCCACCCAGGAAGCCGACUCUUAAACCUGAACUCUGGACGAUGAAAGAAACUUGACUAAAUUCCUGAAAGAUUUUGAUUUGGGGAUUCACUUUACGUGUUGUGCGUGUGCGUGUGUGUGUGUGUGUGUGUGUGUGUGUGUGUGU
Homarus americanus (American lobster) is the source of this 484-nucleotide long non-coding RNA. RefSeq lists it as uncharacterized. The transcript has 2 exons. NCBI's taxonomy places the organism in Eukaryota, Metazoa, Arthropoda, Malacostraca, Decapoda, Nephropidae. The record is from RefSeq and is a predicted model, not a curated record.